Aethalodelphis obliquidens (Pacific white-sided dolphin) is the source of this 4434-nucleotide long non-coding RNA. RefSeq lists it as uncharacterized. The record is from RefSeq and is a predicted model, not a curated record. The transcript is spliced from 4 exons. Lineage: Eukaryota; Metazoa; Chordata; Mammalia; Artiodactyla; Delphinidae.
AGCCUGCGCGUCCGGAGCCUGUGCUCCGCAACGGAGAGGCCACAAUGGCUAACAAUGUGUGGUAGGAUACUCCCUUGUGAUUCUGGGCAUCAGCAGCAAGCCACAGCUCCCAGUCAGCCAUGUAAUCACAUGGGUUCUGAAACGAGGGAGAAGAUACUUCAUAAUUUAGCAAAAACUGAAGAUUUCUCAAGCUAAUAAUAGACCUAUCAUUUUGAAUCAAAGAUUAUCUCCUGCAAUAGAUAGAAGAGUGAAGAGCCAGCCAUCCUUUACCUUCAGUUGGUCCAAGAGGCUCUGUGCGUUAGUGUAUCACAUCCUUGAAGGAGGGGUGGUGUCCUGGCUUAUAUAAGAGAAACAAAAAUAAACUGGUUUAGAGGUUUUAGAAAUUAUGUCUUAGAUGUCUAGGAAAAUCACCCCAAACAAUCAAAACAUUAUACAACCUUUUUAUUGAGAUAUAAAAUCUAUCACAGAAACCAGCCACUAAAACUCAAAGCAUGCACCAAUCCUUGUGGAGAUCUUUUAGGAAGAAUAUGAUCAAGUAUGAGAUAUAACAAUAAAACAGCGUGGUGUACUCUUCUCAUCUUCAAAACACUUUACAAACUUUAUCUAGUAAAUGAUCACAACCCAUCACUGAGACGGCAGGUGGUGCUAUUCAUCCCACUCUACAGAUGAUAACCCCAGGGAAGGUGAGUGGGCCACCCCAGGACACACAGUGGGUAUCAGAGAUGACACAAUCUUAGAAGUCCAGAUAUUCUCACUGUGACCAGAGACUGUCAUGCUUUCAGAAAGCCCUGGUGUCCCAGGUUCCAGUCUGAAGGCCAGCAGACUAGAGAUUCAGGAGAGUUGAUAAUUAAAUGAAGUCUGAAGGUGGUCUCAAGAAUUUCUGCUUGCUCAGAGAGGCUGGUCUUUUUAUCCUAUUUAAACCUUCAACUGAUUGUACAAGGCCCACCCACAUUUUAGAGAGUGAUCUCUUUUUUCUUCACCGAUUUAAAUGCUAAUCUCAUCCAAAAACACACUUCAAGUUAAAAUAUAAAAUUAACUGUCACAGUUACUAUUAUAAAAUGGAUAAACAAUUCCAAGAGAAUAAUUACAAUUUUUUUGAAUAACUUGGUAUCACUCACAACCAAUUACUUCUUCAGAGUAUAAAUCAAGUAAUGCCUUUUAAUAGAGAGAAAGAUGGAUUAUGACCAAAAUUAUUGUUUUACUACUAUGGGUUAUGAUAAAGAAUAGGAAUUAUGAUACAAAACUUGAGAUAGUUGUGUCAAUCUGUGGAAGCUUCUGGGGAAGCUAUGAGCCUGCUUGAUGCCUUUGUGCAAAUGCAUUUUUUGACAAAUGCUGGCAAGUGGAGAGCAGGCUGAAUUUCAUCCUUCAACGAUAGUACAUGAGGUCUGGUUUUGUGUGACCUGUGUAUUCCACCAUACCAUAUAUGAACUGUACCCUUAGACUGUGUUGUAGUCUAAAUCUGGUUACGUUCUAGUGAGGAUGCAAUUUAAUGAUGCGCCACUUAUGUCAGAAAAAAGUUGAUUACACUUAUCAACAGGCCAAAUAUAAUAAACUAGCAUAAGUGAAAUGGAAUUUGCCUUCUUAAAGUUAGGCAGGAAUUUGCCCUAUUUUUAAAUAUGUCCUGGACAGAUAAGCCAACUUUCUUAGGAACCUAUUGUAGGGUCUUCAACCAAAACAGCAAAAAAUUAUUCCUUGUGUCAAAGCAAAAUCACUUACAUGGAAUUUAAGUAAAGUCAUCAUUUUAUUCUGUUAUGAAUGAAAGGAAACAUUAUGCAUUUUCUUCUAUUAUUAUAACACAAUGAGUUUUAAGAACACGAAGGCUAACAGAAAUUUGGGGUUGAGACUUAGAAGUAGACUGUUUUCUUCACUGGACAUAAACAAAAUGAUUUUACAUCCCAACAAGCAGAUCAGAAAGCCAGACAAUUUGAAGCUCACCUAAAAAUUUUUCUCACAGAUUUUCAUUUCCCUGGCGUCUUUUAGCCUCUUGCCUUUCACAAUAAAAAUUAGAAAACAACCUAUUUUCCCUUUCACAACCACUGGUAAGGUGUGGGCGUGACGAAAGAGAAGAGCCCUGCCAGCCAGUGCCAAACCAGUCCUAGGGAUCAUAUGGUAAACCCUCACUUCUACCCACCAAAACCACCAAUAAAAAUAAUGACAACAGUACCUCCCACUUGGGUACUGCUUUGAUUUUCAAUAGGAUUAAUUCACACUCCCUUACUUAAAACUCUUGCAUGUUUAUUGCCAAUAAAAUAAAAAAAGCAAAACAAAACACAUACACACAUAGUGUGAGGUAGUCAUCACAUAAGGGGAUUGUAGCUAAAGGAAAAGGGAGAUUUAGUAAUUUGCACAUGGUCACAUCACAAGUAAGUGACAGAUUUGGUUUGGAAACAAGAUCCUCUUCCAUAUCCAACAAUCUUUCCAGGUUCUGGAACAUCCAUAAGAUGGGUGGGAUGACUCUGCAUCUCCGUCCCCUUCCUGCUUAUACAUCCUCCUCCAUCAAGCCUGCAAUUUAGUCCAUUUUCCCCUGCCCAUCCCCAGAUGGAAUGGCUUUGCAGAGGAGAAGCACAUUGAUCGGUUUCUCUUUCUCCAAACCAUCCUGAAAGGCUGUGCCACAUACACUGAGGCGAGCAGCAAAGUAAUCCACUCGCUUUCCCACUCAUCAUGGUUGGACCUUAUCUUCCCUUUUACCCACAGAGGUAGGAUUCACAAGAAAUAUGUAAUCCACUUUGGUCCCUAAUUUUGUCUCAUAUACCCAUAUCUAUAUAUUUCUGUGGCAUCUCAUGUUUAUUUCAUUCAAAGGUAAUCUUUUUUCCUCUUUUCUGUUUCUGUUUUUGUUUUGUUUUGUUCUGUUUUUCUGAUGUUUCCACAACUUACCUAUAUAAUUUCAGGUUGUUUUUUCAGAAUUCCAAGACCUUCCAUGGAAAACUGAAGAUGUACUCACAUUUAACAUAUAAUAAUAUUACUCAGUUGUUAAAAUUGUUGGACCAGUUCUUCUUUUUCACUUUCUACCUCCCCUUUACCCCCAUUGAAAUUCAUCUUUUUUGUCUCUGAGCACUUCUAAACAGCUAAAGAUCCUUCAGUUCAAAAACUUAAUCACUUUGACCAAACAUUCCACUAAAGCAGAAGAGAUAUCAAGUGGGUUGAUGUAUUUUAAAAGGCCAAAGAAGAUCAGUUUAAUAUUUUUUUCUCUUUUAAACAUACUCAGUAUGGCCACAGUUUUCUCAAAGAGUCCACAAUUUUAAUUUAAAAACAUGUUUCCUUUUUGGGACAAAAACCACACUAAAAUACCGAAACUAUUCUCCUGGCUCAUCCUCUUUGCACAAUAUCCUACUUGAUACUGUGAUGGAUUGAAGACCUAACUAAAUACCCCCAGUUCAUACUGAGUACACACCCUCCAAGCUCCCCAAACCAGUUAGGCAUUAUGGAGGGAGUUUUGCAAUACGAAUAUUUUCCCAGUUGCUCUCUCUUGGCCACACCCCAGAAACAAAUGAAAAUGUUCUAGAGUUUUCAGAGUGGUCAAACACAGCUCUGCUUCCAGCCUCUCCUGAGUCAGGCACACAUUUGGCCUGAAGCUGUUUUGUUGUUUUGUACAAAUGGAAGCCACUCAACUGCUUUUGCACCUUAUUUUAAUGUCUAAUUAUUUCAAAGUGAUCUCUGUUUUUAUUGACAAUAAUUACCCAUCAAGUUCAAAGGCUCCCCCAAUUAUGAAACAUCUUCUAAGGACUAGCUGAUUAGUCCAGCUUGUUAUUAAAUUAGAAGUAUAUUCUUGACCUGUUUUUAGUGAAGAUUUUAUUAUUGCUUUCCUAAUAAGCUUAAUCAUCCCCUUGAAAUCACAUUAAUAUUUUUCUAAUCUCUAUUAUCUCUAUUAAGAGGCUAUGGACUCACUCACUAUUAGGUAAGCAUUUAAUGUCUCCUCUAAUAUGGUUCUAGAUCAUCUUUUCAAUCCCAUGUUUAACUCCUUGAUUUUCCUGCCUCCCCCUUCCACACCCCAGCCCCCCACUCAAACCCUCUGGUCUAACCAAAUAGGUUUAUACUUUGAUGUCUGGAAAUGAUAUGUACCUGUAUCAGUCUCCUUGCCUUCACUCUAGUAGCAAUAAUCGUUUUCAUUGAAAACUUCUUUUCUCUAUAUUCUUCCUAUCCCAGCUCUCCCAGGUCACCAUGCCAUGCUCACUCUGUACUCAGAUCUCAAAGAGCACCGUGGCUUCUCCCACUCACAUAGCACUUAGCACAUGGCAGUUGCCACUAAGUCCCUUAAAACUUAGUAUUUAACUCUAGAUUCUGACUCCACUGCUAGAUUACAAACUUCAAGAAAGUGGGAUUUGCUCUUAUACAUCACUGUGGCCUCACAAUCUAACAAAAUAGGAGGACUGGAUCUGGAGCCUAAAGAACUGGCAGGUGGGCUUCCCUGAUGGCGCAGUGGUUGAGAGUCCGCCU